AUUGAACGCUGGCGGCAGGCUUAACACAUGCAAGUCGAACGAGUGGCGGACGGGUGAGUAAUGUCUGGUAAACUGCCUGAUGGAGGGGGAUAACUACUGGAAACGGUAGCUAAUCCCGCAUACCAUCAGAUGUGCCCAGAUGGGAUUGGCUGGUUGGUGGGGUAAUGGCUAACCAAGGCGACGAUCCCUCGCUGGUUUGCGAGGAUGACCAGCCAAACUGGAACGGAGACAGGGCCCAGACCCCUCCGGGAGGCAGAAGUGGGGAAUAUUGCACAAUGGGCGAAAGCCGGAUGCAGCCAUGCCGGGGGUAUGAAGAAGGCCUCCGGGUUGUAAAGUACUUUCAGCGGGGAGGCGUUACCCGAAGAAGAAGCACCGGCUAACUCCGUGCCAGCAGCCGCGGUAAUAC
Molecule: ribosomal RNA, 406 nt
Filed under: uncultured bacterium
Lineage: Bacteria
Description: partial 16S ribosomal RNA
Rfam family: Bacterial small subunit ribosomal RNA
Source: RNAcentral